Molecule: non-coding RNA, 30 nt
Filed under: Homo sapiens (human)
Lineage: Eukaryota; Metazoa; Chordata; Mammalia; Primates; Hominidae
Source: RNAcentral
UGAGAUCAUGUGCUUUGCAGGAAUGUGGGU